GAAGAACCUUACCUACUCUUGACAUCCAGAGAACUUUCCAGAGAUGGAUUGGUGCCUUCGGGAACUCUGAGACAGGUGCUGCAUGGCUGUCGUCAGCUCGUGUUGUGAAAUGUUGGGUUAAGUCCCGCAACGAGCGCAACCCUUAUCCUUUGUUGCCAGCGGUUAGGCCGGGAACUCAAAGGAGACUGCCAGUGAUAAACUGGAGGAAGGUGGGGAUGACGUCAAGUCAUCAUGGCCCUUACGAGUAGGGCUACACACGUGCUACAAUGGCGCAUACAAAGAGAAGCGACCUCGCGAGAGCAAGCGGACCUCAUAAAGUGCGUCGUAGUCCGGAUUGGAGUCUGCAACUCGACUCCAUGAAGUCGGAAUCGCUAGUAAUCGUAGAUCAGAAUGCUACGGU
This 400-nucleotide ribosomal RNA is filed under the name uncultured Enterobacter sp. RNAcentral's name for it is "bacterial SSU rRNA". It matches the Rfam family "Bacterial small subunit ribosomal RNA", at positions 963 to 1363 of the family's 1533-position model. The record is from RNAcentral. Lineage: Bacteria; Pseudomonadati; Pseudomonadota; Gammaproteobacteria; Enterobacterales; Enterobacteriaceae.